AUUGAACGCUGGCGGCAUGCCUAACACAUGCAAGUCGAACGGCAGCACAAUAAAGAUUUCGGUCUUUAUGGGUGGCGAGUGGCGGACGGGUGAGUAACGCGUAGGAAUCUGUCCUGGAGAGUGGGAUAACCCGAGGAAACUCGGGCUAAUACUGCAUGACAUUGAGAGAUCAAAAGCAGGGGACCGAAAGGCCUUGCGCUCUGGGGUGAGCCUACGUCGGAUUAGCUAGUUGGUGGGUAAAGGCCUACCAAGGCGACGAUCCGUAGCUGGUCUGAAGGGAUGACCAGCCACACUGGGACUGAGACACGGCCCAGACUCCUACGGGAGGCAGCAGUGGGGAAUCUUGGACAAUGGGGGAAACCCUGAUCCAGCGAUGCCGCGUGUGUGAAGAAGGCCUUCGGGUUGUAAAGCACUUUAGGUGGGGAAGAAAGGUAGCGAGUGAAUAACUUUCUGCUGUGACGGUACCCACAGAAUAAGCACCGGCUAACUCUGUGCCAGCAGCCGCGGUAA
Molecule: ribosomal RNA, 510 nt
Filed under: uncultured bacterium
Lineage: Bacteria
Description: partial 16S ribosomal RNA
Rfam family: Bacterial small subunit ribosomal RNA
Source: RNAcentral